Molecule: ribosomal RNA, 641 nt
Filed under: uncultured Thermoproteales archaeon
Lineage: Archaea; Thermoproteati; Thermoproteota; Thermoprotei; Thermoproteales
Description: partial 16S ribosomal RNA
Rfam family: Archaeal small subunit ribosomal RNA
Source: RNAcentral
GGACCCGACCGCUAUCGGGGUAGGGCUAAGCCAUGCGAGUCGCGCGCCCGGGGGCGCCCGGGAGCGGCGCACGGCUCAGUAACACGUGCCCAACCUACCCUCGGGAGGGGGACACCCCCGGGAAACUGGGGCCAAUCCCCCAUAGGGGAAGGGCGCUGGAAGGCCCCCUCCCCGAAAGGACGGCGGCCGAUCCGCCGCCGCCCGCCCGAGGAUGGGGGCACGGCCCAUCAGGUAGUUGGCGGGCUAAAGGCCCGCCAAGCCGAAGACGGGUAGGGGCGGUGAGAGCCGCGAGCCCCGAGAUCGGCACUGAGAUAAGGGCCGAGGCCCUACGGGGUGCAGCAGGCGCGAAUACUCCGCAAUGCGGGCAACCGCGACGGGGCUACCCCGAGUGCCGGGCGAAGAGCCCAGCUUUUGCCCGGUCUAAAAAGCCGGGAGAAUAAGCGGGGGGCAAGUCUGGUGUCAGCCGCCGCGGUAAUACCAGCUCCGCGAGUGGUCGGGGUGUUUACUGGGCUUAAAGCGCCCGUAGCCAGCCCGGCAAGUCGCUCCUGAAAUCCCAGGGCUCAACCCUGGGGCGGGGGGCGAUACUGCCGGGCUAGGGGGCGGAAGAGGCCGCCGGUACUCCGGGGGUAGGGGCGAAAUCC